RNAcentral lists this ribosomal RNA (327 nucleotides) under uncultured eukaryote. RNAcentral's name for it is "partial 18S ribosomal RNA". It matches the Rfam family "Eukaryotic small subunit ribosomal RNA", at positions 1470 to 1796 of the family's 1831-position model. The record is from RNAcentral.
CCCUUAGAUGUUCUGGGCCGCACACGCGCUACACUGAAGGAGGCAGCGUGUACUCCUGGAUCGAAAGAUUUGGGUAACCCGCGAAUCUCCUUCGUGCUAGGGAUUGAGGUUUGCAAUUAUCCUUCAUGAACGAGGAAUUCCCAGUAAGUGCAAGUCAUAAGCUUGCGCUGACUACGUCCCUGCCCUUUGUACACACCGCCCGUCGCUACUACCGAUUGAAUGAUUUAGUGAGGACUUCGGACUGGGACCGAUGCGGCUUUCGGGCUGCGUCGGUAUUCUGGAAAGAUGUCCAAACUGUAUCAUUUGGAGGAAGUAAAANUCGUAACA